GUAAAUAAUAAUUAUCGCAAAUCUUCGAUUUGCGGAAUUGGGCUUUUAUUUCGAAUAGAUUUAUGGCCUUACAUUACGUUAUUGGCUUAUUACACGAAAUCAUCCGAUCCAAAGGUGCAAUUAAACAUUCUCUCGUGUGCGGAUUUUCGCAAACUGUUACGAUUUUUGGUUGCCGAAGCACUUUCACGAGCGCGAAGCCAAAAUCGGAAGUUUUUUUAA
This 219-nucleotide unclassified non-coding RNA is filed under the name uncultured Entrophospora. Its description in RNAcentral is "uncultured Claroideoglomus partial internal transcribed spacer 2". Lineage: Eukaryota; Fungi; Glomeromycota; Glomeromycetes; Entrophosporales; Entrophosporaceae. The record is from RNAcentral.